The sequence is a transfer RNA, 72 nucleotides long. It matches the Rfam family "tRNA". From Rfam's summary of the family: Transfer RNA (tRNA) molecules are approximately 80 nucleotides in length. The record is from Rfam.
GCGCCCUUAGUGUAAUGGAUAGCACAUGAGAUUUCGGUCCUCAUGAUCUCGGUUCGAUUCCGAGGGGGCGCA